GGCCCAAAGAGCAGUUAAAGAAAACAAUUAAUAAAAUUAAAAUAUUGCCCAGCCGUCAUACGCAUAAACAAAUAAUAAAUUCAUAUACAAAAGUUAUUUUAGUACCCUUGAACCCACUACAGUUGAGAAACAAACUGGGAUUAGAUACCCCACUAUGCUCAAUUAUAAACUUUGGAUACACCCGCCAGAGCACUACGAGCUUUAGCUUAAAACUCAAAGGACUUGGCGGUGCUUUAUACCCCCUAGAGGAGCCUGUUCUAUAAUCGAUAACCCCCGAUCAACCUCACCGUCACUCGCUAGUACAGCCUAUAUACCACCGCCCCCAGCUAACCCUUUAAAGGAGUAAUAGUCAGCAUAAUAAAUUAAAAUUUAAAAGUCAGGUCAAGGUGUAGCAUAUGCAACGGGAAGAAAUGGGCUACAUUUUUUUUUUUAAAAAUACGGAACAACCAAUGAAACUAAAUGCAAAGGCGGAUUUAGAAGUAAAAAGAAAAAGAAUUUUCUUUUAAAAUGGGUAAUAAAACACGCACACACCGCCCGUCACCCUCAUCAAACUAUAAUUUCUUUAAAUAAAUUAUUAAUAGUUGAAGAAGAGGAAAGUCGUAACAUGGUAAGCCUACCGGAAGGUGGUCUUGGAUAU
This 637-nucleotide ribosomal RNA is filed under the name Eurycea wilderae. RNAcentral's name for it is "partial 12S ribosomal RNA". Lineage: Eukaryota; Metazoa; Chordata; Amphibia; Caudata; Plethodontidae. The record is from RNAcentral.